GACGAACGCUGGCGGCGUGCUUAACACAUGCAAGUCGAGCGGAAAGGCCCUUCGGGGUUCUUGAGCGGCGAACGGGUGAGUAACACGUGAGUAACCUGCCCCAGACCUUGGGAUAACCCUCGGAUACGGGGGCUAAUACCGGAUACGACACAGCUUCGCAUGGCGUCUGUGUGGAAAGUUUUUCGGUUUUGGAUGGGCUCGCGGCCAAUCAGCUAGUUUGUGGGGUAAUGGCCUACGAAGGCGACGACAGGUAGCCGGCCUGAGAGGGCGACCGGGCACACGAGUACUAAGAGAGGGCGCAGUCGCGUACGGUAGGCAGCGGUGGGGAGUAUUACACAGUGGGCGGGAGCGUGUGGCGGCGGCGCCGCGUGAGUGAAGACCGCCUUCGGGUUGUAAACCUCUUUCGGCAGAGACGAAGCGUAAGUGACGGUACCUGCAGAAGAAGCGCCGGCCAACUACGUG
RNAcentral lists this ribosomal RNA (462 nucleotides) under uncultured bacterium. Its description in RNAcentral is "partial 16S ribosomal RNA". It matches the Rfam family "Bacterial small subunit ribosomal RNA", at positions 28 to 507 of the family's 1533-position model. The record is from RNAcentral.